AACGAACGCUGGCGGCAUGCCUAACACAUGCAAGUCAAACGAGACCUUCGGGUCUAGUGGCGCACGGGUGCGUAACGCGUGGGAAUCUGCCCUUGGGUUCGGAAUAACAGUUGGAAACGACUGCUAAUACCGGAUGAUGACGUAAGUCCAAAGAUUUAUCGCCCAGGGAUGAGCCCGCGUAGGAUUAGCUAGUUGGUGGGGUAAAGGCCUACCAAGGCGACGAUCCUUAGCUGGUCUGAGAGGAUGAUCAGCCACACUGGGACUGAGACACGGCCCAGACUCCUACGGGAGGCAGCAGUGGGGAAUAUUGGACAAUGGGCGAAAGCCUGAUCCAGCAAUGCCGCGUGAGUGAUGAAGGCCUUAGGGUUGUAAAACUCUUUUACCCGGGAUGAUAAUGACAGUACCGGGAGAAUAAGCCCCGGCUAACUCCGUG
RNAcentral lists this ribosomal RNA (433 nucleotides) under uncultured bacterium. Its description in RNAcentral is "partial 16S ribosomal RNA". It matches the Rfam family "Bacterial small subunit ribosomal RNA", at positions 29 to 507 of the family's 1533-position model. The record is from RNAcentral.